Long non-coding RNA from Phyllostomus hastatus (greater spear-nosed bat), 3472 nucleotides. RefSeq lists it as uncharacterized. NCBI's taxonomy places the organism in Eukaryota, Metazoa, Chordata, Mammalia, Chiroptera, Phyllostomidae. The record is from RefSeq and is a predicted model, not a curated record. The transcript has 3 exons.
CGGCUCUGAAGGCCGUGUAGGAAGACCACCAGCGGAGCAACAUCCCGGAUCGAGAUGCCCGCUGACCGCGGCGUGAGAACACCAGGGGAGGCCGCCCUGUGUCCACGCUCUGCCUGAACCCUGGUUUUAUCUGGGAUGGCAAUGGGCCACCUCAACGCACGCACUCUCUUCGACUCCCUCACAGCUAGGAGGGGUCAUGUGACCCAGGCCUAACCAAUGAAAACGAAGCCAAGUUUGCCAAGUGGGACUCUCGGAAAAGCUUUUUUGAAAACAGACAGGCAGGGUGGACAUGCUGCUCGCCUCUUGCCUCUUCUUCCGGCUCGUAACCUGGGUAGCAGCUGGCAGCAAAGUGGCCAUCUUGCAACCGUGACCGACCGACCCUGAGGACAAAAGCCAUGUGUUCAUGAUGGCUGAGCAAAAAGUGGCAGGCCUUGUUGAUAACAUAACAUGACAUCUCGGCGGUUUUUCCACGUCCAGCUCUCGGACUCGCCUCAGCGGCUGCAUGAUAUUGGGACACACUCCCUCUACUCGGCAAGAAAGGCCCCCGUUCUCGGAUGCUCGGGUUGCUUCCCAUCUUCUGCCGGAAGAACCGUGCGGUCAAGGUCCUUCCGCCUGUACCGCGGGGCCCAUGUGUUCAUUUAGACGCUGGGCUUGUGCCCCCACCCCCACCCCGUCUCCCUCCGCUUGUAGGCCCUGUUUGUUUGUUUGUUUGUUUGUCUGUUUUUGCCUAUUUCCGUUCUCAAAUUUUUAUCCCGCGAGCAUGUCCCGUUUGUGUAAUAAUCAGAAGGCUGUGUUUACAGGCCCAGGACUCAAACUUCAGCCAAGUCAGAUAAACAGCCCCGUGCGCAAGCCCGGCUCGGGCAGAAGAGGAGUCGGCCUCCGCUGCCGAGGCCCGCUGGCCGGGAGGCCGCAUUUCUGCGCAGUCACGCGCCGGCCCGGGCCUGCCCGCUGCGGCGCAUCCGGGAGCGCAGGGCCUGGGUUCCAGGUCAGGCCGGGCCAUUCACUCGCCGGAGGACCGCAGGUAAACCCCUCGGUGCGGAUGGAUCGUCAGAGGAGCGUUCACUACGCACCAGGCUCUUAGCUGAGGAUGAUACGGUGUUUGGGCAGACGGGGCUGAGGUGAGGAAAAGUGACCCCGGGAGACAGAGCACGUGCUGGUCAGCCUCCUGUAGCUCCGUCAAGGAACCGCCACCGUCCCUCCGGCCCAGGAGUCGGUUCUGGUUCCUUCCACCUCCCCUGCAAUCACCAGUUCACCCUCCGGUACUGUGGGCUCGACCUUCAAAAUACAGUUGCCCUUGAACGACGCAGGAGUGAGGGGUGCCGGCCCUCUGCACAGUCAAAAGUCCAAGUGGAGCUUUUGACUCUGAAAACUUCAUCACCACAUGCCUUGCUGACAACAUUAACAGGCUAUUAGCAUGUAUCUUGUAUGUUACAUGUAUCACAGACUUCUCCUUACAGUACAGUAAGCUAGAGAAAAGAAAUGGUAUUAAGAAAAUCAUAAGGAAGGGAAGACACCCUUGCAGUGCUGUAAGUAUUUAUUGAAAGAAACCGUGCAUGAGUGGACCCACGCAGUUCAAACCCACGCAGUUCAAACCCACGCAGUUCAAGGCGCAGCUGUCUUUCUCCGUCUCCCACCGAGCUCUCGCCACGCCUGGCCCGCAAGGCCCUCGUGAUCUGCACUCAGCAUCUCCCUACCGUCAUCCCCGCUCCCCACUCCUCCGGGGUCUCUCUGCUCCCCCACACCGGGCUCGCCCCCACCCCCAGGGCCUCUGCACUGGCUGUGCUCCUCUGUGGACUCGCUUCCCUCGCUGCAGCUCCAGGAUGAGGCUGAGGCAAGCGAGAGAGGCCCAGGAUGAAAACGCUGAGGAGGUACUCACUCUCCAGCGCCAGGCUACAACUGAGCGGGGCUGAGACCAAGUGCCCCCGCACAUUCUGUAGCCCGGCUCACUCGCUCGCCUCACCCGUGCGCCCACCCUGCUCCCUGGAACUGAUUCUCAUCCUUUGGGUCCUGAUGAAUUGACUCCAUCCUCAGAGAGACCCCCCUGACUGUCUUAGCUGAUGGUGCCUGUCACUGUGCAGCCCGCCACAUUGCCUCACUUUCAUUUACUUUCGUUAUUCUUAUCCCAAAAUGAUUUGUUUUGUGCCCGUCUCUGCCCACUAGGGUAUACGUUCUAUGAGGGUGGGGACUAUAUCUGCCUUGUUCUCAGAUACGUCCCCAGUGCCCAGCACAGUGCCAACAUUCAGGGGAGAAUAAAUACCCUGGAUGAAUGAAUGAGCUGGUCAGAGGCAAAGGCAGGAUUUGAACCCAGGUUUGCCUGACUCUGAAGUCAGUCCUUCUAUCCGUGAUUGAGAAAUGAGAGGCUCAGACCCGGUCAGCCGGGAACCCUGGUGUCGCAGCCUGUCCUGAUGGGAACCCUGCAUCCGUCCCGGGGACAGGCUGCUGAGGAAACUUCUGGGAGGGGGAGGAGCUUGGCCGCAAUCACGGGGCGCUCUCAGUCUUAGGCCUUCCUGGGGCCAGCUGUGCCCGCCCCCCUCGUUCCAGUUUUUAUUUUUAGCGGCGAGUUUUCGGGCACAGAGGACUCUCCUUAGGAAAAGUCCAGCGAGAGGAUGAGGGAGGCGGUUUUGAAAUCCGGUGGGAAAGUAGGUCAGGCCGGGUUGCUGGCUGGCGUCCAGGCGAUAAGGCCUCUGUGGAAGCUUAAUAACGUGAGCGGCCGUAUCCAUGACACAAUUCAUAACUGAGAGGAAAUAGCAAUUAAGGGGCAGUUGUGCAACGUGGGACAAGCCUCCUUCUCAGCUCAUAAAAGCAGGAGGAGGAAGAGGUGACGCUGUCAUGUGGGGCCACCGGGGGGCCGGGCAGGCGGCCUUCGGGGACUGGGGGCUGAGUCUCCACACUGAGGGGGCUCGCGCCCACCUUUGCUCUCCCGCUCAGGCCUCGGGGGACUGGGAGGAUGUGUGAGGCAGAGACUCCCUCCAGCAAGCACCUACUAAGUACCCAGCUGGGCUCAGGCCUCAGCGGAGAGCCGUAAAGCCGGCCUCGCGCGGCGGUUGGGAGCUCUGGCCGCAGCUGCACUGUUUUGAUGCUGCCCUGUCAAGACGGAAACUCGCUUUGAUUAUGGGGUGAGCUGUACAACAGACACCCCUGGUCCUCAGUCCGCCUCCCCGCCCCCUCCCCGUUACUCUGGGGUUUCCGUUUCUCCUUUAUUCCUUCUCCAUUAUUUGAUCUUCCCAUGAGCACCCUCUGCUUUUCUAUCAGUUAACACACACACACACACACACACAACAUCGCGUCCACAGGAGCACAUUUCCUCUUCCCUGAACAAGCCAGGCGGGCACUGGCCCCAGGGCCUUUGCCCUCGCCAGGCCCUCUGUCUGGACCGCUCUCCCCCUGGAUAGCCACAGGGCUCCCGCCUCGCUCCGCCAGGUCCUCACUCACAUGUCACCUUCCCACCGACGUCUCGGCUGACCAACGCCUU